ACGAACGCUGGCGGCGUGCUUCACACCUGCAGGUCGAACGGAAAGGCCCUGCUUGCCGGGUACUCGAGUGGCGAACGGGUGAGUAACACGUGGGUGAUCUGCCCUGCACUUCGGGAUAAGCCUGGGAAACUGGGUCUAAUACCGGAUAGGAGCCAUUUUUAGUGUGAUGGUUGGAAAGUUUUUUCGGUGUAGGAUGAGCUCGCGGCCUAUCAGCUUGUUGGUGGGGUAAUGGCCUACCAAGGCGGCGACGGGUAGCCGGCCUGAGAGGGUGGACGGCCACAUUGGGACUGAGAUACGGCCCAGACUCCUACGGGAGGCAGCAGUGGGGAAUAUUGCACAAUGGGCGCAAGCCUGAUGCAGCGACGCCGCGUGGGGGAUGACGGCCUUCGGGUUGUAAACUCCUUUCGCUAGGGACGAAGCUUUUUGUGACGGUACCUAGAUAAGAAGCACCGGCUAACUACGUG
RNAcentral lists this ribosomal RNA (464 nucleotides) under uncultured bacterium. RNAcentral describes it as "partial 16S ribosomal RNA". It matches the Rfam family "Bacterial small subunit ribosomal RNA", at positions 29 to 507 of the family's 1533-position model. The record is from RNAcentral.